This 1175-nucleotide long non-coding RNA is filed under the name Oryctolagus cuniculus (rabbit). RNAcentral's name for it is "lncRNA (ENSOCUG00000038652.1)". Lineage: Eukaryota; Metazoa; Chordata; Mammalia; Lagomorpha; Leporidae. The record is from RNAcentral.
UUGAUAACUGUGAUACUUUCUGCAUUAUUAGUAGGAUGACAAACACACAUAAUAGCAAUUCUCAAACCGAAAGGAAUGCAGCCUCAAUGGGAGAUAAAAAUCCCAGCCAACAGGAUGGUUUGAGGGGAAAAAUAUCGAUAAUGAAGUGGGGUUAUUGAAUUAACUGUUCCAUUUAGCAGACACUCUGCAGAACCACGGCGUGCAACGACUGUGACUGCUGUGACAGAGCUGCUGGAGACAUGGGGAUUGGGGGCCACCAGGCUGACUCCGCCACAAACUCAGGGCUGGGCUGCCACACAGCUCAGCAGCUGCAUAGUGCAGAACAGACUUAGAGAUGUCGGCUAUGUGACAAGUGUGUGCAAGGGGGUCGUAGGGCUCUGGUCUCCUACCUGCAAGGACUCCUGUGACACGUGACUGUCCCCCUGGGACUGCUGAAAUCUCUGGAGUGUUUGCAGUGUAGUUCAGCCCACCUGGGUUGUUUCGUGGAGCACAGCUGCAUCCCACCUGGGUUGGUCCAAGGUGCGGGGCAAGGGCAGUGGGCCCGCUGUAACCUCAUCCACAGACUUAAAUAUUUGCAAACAAAAUUGCAUCUGUGUUGAACAGGUCCAGACUUCUUUUUUCCUGGUUAUUAUUUCAUAAACAUAUUUUUUUAUUUCAUUAAUAAAGUAACAAUGUUCUACAUAGCUUUUUCAUUGUGUUAGCUGUUUUAAGUGGUCUAGAGAUGAUUUAAAGUAUAGGGGAGGGUGUGUCUAGGUUAUUUGCAAAUACUGUGCCGUUUACAUAAGGGACUUGAGCAUGGGAGGAUUUUGGACUCUGCAGAGCAGGUGUGUCCCCGGAAACAUCGAGGGAGCACUUGGCAGAACUUCCCUUCUUUCUUUGUUGGGUAAAUGUGUCCAUCUCUCUGCAGUCCCCCAGGGUGCACAGCAAGGGUCCUGGUGGCUUUCUGUUGCUUCAGUGAACCAGGGUUUAUGACAUCACCAUUCACCAGCAUGCAUUGCUCUCUGGGUCUGUUUUUCCCACAGGGCAUCACUGUAGCUGUUCUGCAUCCCUCUUGUCCAAGUUGCCUGCCCUCUCCUCUCAGGAAUAUAUUCUUCCCUCUUCCAUAUUUACAGAAAAGCUGGACUUUUAAGAGAUUCCAGGAAACAUCCUCAGCCACAUUCAGUUUUGGAAGAUGA